CCUAUGGCGGUCCGCGCCGCUGAGAUGAUGACGACGGGGUCCGAGCCUGCAUUCAUCCUGUAGCUCCGAGGUCUGCUAGCUCUCAGCCUGGUGCUCUCUGCGACUGAGGUGAACUUCUGGACCUAGCUUAACCUUUUCCGGAUUGGCAUCUCCAGUCUCUUCUGGAAGGUCCUUCUCCUCAUCGCUGACAGCUUUUGAGCGCGUAGCCUCUUUACUAACAGAGAUCCUUAGAGCAGUGUAUCUCUGCUGUCCAAUCCUUUCGUACUUACUCAACCAAAUGUCUGCAGAGGCAAGAAGAGGAUGCUGGAUCCCCUGGAACUGGAAUCGCAGAUGGUUGUGAGCUACCCCGUGGUUGCUAGGUACCAAACCCAGUCUCUGCAGGGGCAGUAAGUGCUCUUCACCCUGUGCCCUCUACUUUCCCACUACUCUGGCCACUCUCCAGUCCCCUUUGUGGCUUUACUCUGACUGCCCCUCACCCAACUUUGCAGCAGCUUCCUGGGAAACAGCAUGUCCACCCACCCCAUCACUUCAGUCACCACCCAUUAUGCUAACAACUCUGGAAUCCUAACUUUGUUGCCUGUGAGCAGACUGGCCCUCUCUAAACUUUCUAUGACAACUUAUCACAUCUAACCCAAA
Molecule: long non-coding RNA, 636 nt
Organism: Rattus rattus (black rat)
Lineage: Eukaryota; Metazoa; Chordata; Mammalia; Rodentia; Muridae
Exons: 3
Source: RefSeq, a predicted model, not a curated record